CCUACGGGAGGCGGCAGUAAGGAAUAUUGGACAAUGGAGGCAACUCUGAUCCAGCCAUGCCGCGUGAAGGAUGAAGGCGCUCAGCGUUGUAAACUUCUUUUGGAUGGGAACAAAAACUCCGAUGCGUCGGAGCCUGAGGGUACCAUCAGAAUAAGCACCGGCUAACUCCGUGCCAGCAGCCGCGGUAAUACGGAGGGUGCAAGCGUUAUCCGGAAUCACUGGGUUUAAAGGGUGCGUAGGCGGCUCGAUAAGUCAGUCGUGAAAUUCCCCGGNUUAACCGGCGGGACUGCGAUUGAUACUGUUGAACUUGAAUCAGGUUGAGGUAGGCGGAAUGUGGCAUGUAGCGGUGAAAUGCUUAGAUAUGCCAUAGAACACCGAUUGCGAAGGCAGCUUGCUGGACCUGUAUUGACGCUGAGGCACGAAAGCGUGGGGAGCAAAACGAGGUAUUAGACUACCCGUGGUACGUCCCGUACCGACCCGUAACCGUACGUAGUUUACGUUUCGUCGUGUGUCGGUCGUUCGGUAGUUGUCGUGGCGGACGGACGGAACGGACGACGUAACGUAAACCGUAACCGUAACGGGGUAGGUACGGUUACCGGACCGUAACGGUUAGGUUAAACGUACGAACGGAAGUUAGGACGGGACGUUGAGACGNGACGACGGACGACGACGAGGGAGGAGG
RNAcentral lists this ribosomal RNA (682 nucleotides) under uncultured bacterium. Its description in RNAcentral is "bacterial SSU rRNA". The stretch from base 1 to 597 matches the Rfam family "Bacterial small subunit ribosomal RNA", at positions 338 to 873 of the family's 1533-position model. The record is from RNAcentral.